Molecule: ribosomal RNA, 913 nt
Filed under: uncultured bacterium
Lineage: Bacteria
Description: bacterial SSU rRNA
Rfam family: Bacterial small subunit ribosomal RNA
Source: RNAcentral
AGAGUUUGAUCAUGGCUCAGGACGAACGCUGGCGGCGUGCCUAAUACAUGCAAGUCGAGCGAGCUUGCCUAGAUGAUUUUAGUGCUUGCACUAAAUGAAACUAGAUACAAGCGAGCGGCGGACGGGUGAGUAACACGUGGGUAACCUGCCCAAGAGACUGGGAUAACACCUGGAAACAGAUGCUAAUACCGGAUAACAACACUAGACGCAUGUCUAGAGUUUGAAAGAUGGUUCUGCUAUCACUCUUGGAUGGACCUGCGGUGCAUUAGCUAGUUGGUAAGGUAACGGCUUACCAAGGCAAUGAUGCAUAGCCGAGUUGAGAGACUGAUCGGCCACAUUGGGACUGAGACACGGCCCAAACUCCUACGGGAGGCAGCAGUAGGGAAUCUUCCACAAUGGACGAAAGUCUGAUGGAGCAACGCCGCGUGAGUGAAGAAGGGUUUCGGCUCGUAAAGCUCUGUUGGUAGUGAAGAAAGAUAGAGGUAGUAACUGGCCUUUAUUUGACGGUAAUUACUUAGAAAGUCACGGCUAACUACGUGCCAGCAGCCGCGGUAAUACGUAGGUGGCAAGCGUUGUCCGGAUUUAUUGGGCGUAAAGCGAGUGCAGGCGGUUCAAUAAGUCUGAUGUGAAAGCCUUCGGCUCAACCGGAGAAUUGCAUCAGAAACUGUUGAACUUGAGUGCAGAAGAGGAGAGUGGAACUCCAUGUGUAGCGGUGGAAUGCGUAGAUAUAUGGAAGAACACCAGUGGCGAAGGCGGCUCUCUGGUCUGCAACUGACGCUGAGGCUCGAAAGCAUGGGUAGCGAACAGGAUUAGAUACCCUGGUAGUCCAUGCCGUAAACGAUGAGUGUCUAAGUGUUGGGAGGUUUCCGCCUCUCAGUGCUGCAGCUAACGCAUUAAGCACUCCGCCUGGGGA